This 350-nucleotide unclassified non-coding RNA is filed under the name soil metagenome. Its description in RNAcentral is "partial contains 5.8S ribosomal RNA, internal transcribed spacer 2, and large subunit ribosomal RNA". The stretch from base 1 to 120 matches the Rfam family "5.8S ribosomal RNA", at positions 35 to 154 of the family's 154-position model. The record is from RNAcentral.
GAUGAAGAACGCAGCGAACUGCGAUAAGUAAUGUGAAUUGCAGAAUUCAGUGAAUCAUCGAGUCUUUGAACGCACAUUGCGCCCCCUGGCAUUCCGGGGGGCAUGCCUGUCCGAGCGUCAUUGCUGCCCUUCAAGCCCGGCUUGUGUGUUGGGUCGUCGUCCCCCCCGGGGGACGGGCCCGAAAGGCAGCGGCGGCACCGCGUCCGGUCCUCGAGCGUAUGGGGCUUUGUCACCCGCUCGAUUAGGGCCGGCCGGGCGCCAGCCGGCGUCUCCAACCUUCUAUUUUACCAGGUUGACCUCGGAUCAGGUAGGGAUACCCGCUGAACUUAAGCAUAUCAAUAAGCGGAAGA